Molecule: long non-coding RNA, 1410 nt
Organism: Myxocyprinus asiaticus (Chinese sucker)
Lineage: Eukaryota; Metazoa; Chordata; Actinopteri; Cypriniformes; Catostomidae
Exons: 3
Source: RefSeq, a predicted model, not a curated record
AUGAGCACUGCUGAGGAGUUGUACCUGGGCUGCUCCUCUACAGCUGGGGGAAAGAGAGGCAAGCGGAGGGGGCGAGGUUAAGGGGUGACGGGACUGGUGCACAACUGGUGCACAUUUUCCUUUUGCCGAAUUUCCACAGUCUCUUCUUUCUUUUCUGUUUCGCUUUAUUUAACAGAUUGCACAUUUAUGUUUUGCUCUUUUGUGGGCCACAGUGGACAUGACUCUCCAGUGCCAGUGCUAAGCACAGUGGAUACAAGAGACCUUUUGGAAACAGUAAACAGACAGUCGAGCCCUAAUCAUUGACUCUGUAUCUCAUCUCUAAGAACAUACUGAAAAAGAGGGUUGAUCAGAUCCUUCAGAGGAGGCUUUGGACUUUGGCCAGCUUGUACACACCUUUGGUUUAGCCAUUGUUCACAAAAUUCCUAUCGGAUUUCCAUUUCUCUUUUUUUUUUUCUGCUUUUAUGGUGUGCUAAGAUUGCAAGGUGAUGGUUAAAUUGCUUGUCUAACUUUAAAAUGGACUAGCAGAUAGUGAUAAAACCUCUGCUGUCUAGAAGACUACUGUAUAUGUAAACUGACAUGUGGUCAAUCUAUUCUUGAAUUUGUUUUAAAUAUCACUCUUAGCAGUUUCUCAUAAUAGCACAAUGAGAGAAAGUAGGUGCCAUCUAGGUGUUGCAGUCUUCUUGUGAAAUCACUUUUUGUCUAGCUUUUGUAAUUAAUAGCUUGCAAGAUGUGUUACAGUCAGGUAAUGUUUUUAACACCUUUUGACUGUUCUUUUCGCUUUUUGCCUUCUUGUAUGCUGUGUCUUCAAACUGUCUAGAUAUUUGUGCCUCCAUUUUGAGAGCCAUUUUAAAUACAGAGUGUUUAAAUAGAGGUUGCAGGUCUUUUCUUCUAAAGUAUGUUCAGAAACUACAUUUAGCUGGUACUUGCAUGGGUUAUUAUUAAUAAAUAUUUAAGAAACACGCAAUAGCCAUGAUCUCUAGCUUACCUGAGGUAGACACUGUAACGCACGGUUCAUUGAUUCAAAAUGGAAUACAAAACGAUUAUUAAAUCCUUUAAAAAUGUUGUAUAUCGGCUAAAAUAUGAAAUGUUUGAUUUAGAGCAUGAUCAGUGACCAGGGGAAAAUUGAAGUGUGCAAAAUAUUAUCUUAAAUAUUUGUCAUUUAGUGGCUAUAUAUUGUAUUAAUAGCAUUAUUCUCUUUAAAAAUGGGUUAACCCUCCUGUUGUCUUAAGAAACCGCAUCCUCCUUUUCAUUUGGGUCAUAUUUGACCUGUAUUGAAAACCAUUCAAAAUCCAUAAAUUCUUGAUUAGUGUACAAUUGCACUAAAGACCCCCAUUGACGAAACGUUUUAUUGUGGUCCCAAAGUGUAAUGAUGGGGGGGGGGGGGGUGAAUUAUAUGUACUGAAUUUUAAU